RNAcentral lists this ribosomal RNA (411 nucleotides) under Verrucomicrobiota bacterium. RNAcentral's name for it is "Verrucomicrobia bacterium partial 16S ribosomal RNA". It matches the Rfam family "Bacterial small subunit ribosomal RNA", at positions 355 to 776 of the family's 1533-position model. The record is from RNAcentral. Lineage: Bacteria; Pseudomonadati; Verrucomicrobiota.
UGGGGAAUCUUGCGCAAUGGGGGAAACCCUGACGCAGCGACGCCGCGUGCGGGAUGAAGGCCUUCGGGUUGUAAACCGCUUUCAGCAGGGACGAGGCCUUAUGUUGACGGUACCUGCAGAAGAAGCUUCGGCUAAAUACGUGCCAGCAGCCGCGGUAAUACGUAUGUUGCGAGCGUUAUCCGGAAUUAUUGGGCUUAAAGGGCAUCUAGGCGGUAAGACAAGUUGAAGGUGAAAACCUGUGGCUCAACCAUAGGCUUGCCUACAAAACUGUUGAACUAGAGUACUGGAAAGGUGGGUGGAACUACACGAGUAGAGGUGAAAUUCGUAGAUAUGUGUAGGAAUGCCGAUGAUGAAGAUAACUCACUGGACAGAAACUGACGCUGAAGUGCGAAAGCUAGGGGAGCAAACAGG